GGAUAUUUACGGGUGGCCAAUGCUACUCGAACACGGAGACGUUCCUUGACCAACUUUUAGUGCUUUUAAUUGUGGCUAAUGAAAACGAGGAAGUGUUGAUAUUGUUUUACGUUGGUAUCUUUUCGCUGGGUUCCUUGUAACCUUGACAUGUGUUAACUUGACAUGAGGCGGUGUCUAGUGUAUACUUUUGUCGGUAUCCGAAAUGGUCCCAUAUAUCUUAAAGAAACCACACGAAACGGUC
Molecule: long non-coding RNA, 241 nt
Organism: Raphanus sativus (radish)
Lineage: Eukaryota; Viridiplantae; Streptophyta; Magnoliopsida; Brassicales; Brassicaceae
Exons: 2
Source: RefSeq, a predicted model, not a curated record